AAAUAAGAAGCAAAAAUUGCAUUUAGUUUCGACCUAAAAAUUGGUUAAUUUAACCCUUAUUUA
RNAcentral lists this transfer RNA (63 nucleotides) under Mylabris sp. MYL01. RNAcentral's name for it is "tRNA-Arg". Lineage: Eukaryota; Metazoa; Arthropoda; Insecta; Coleoptera; Meloidae. The record is from RNAcentral.